CCUACGGUGGGCAGCAGUGAGGAAUAUUGGUCAAUGGACGAGAGUCUGAACCAGCCAAGUAGCGUGAAGGAUGACUGCCCUACGGGUUGUAAACUUCUUUUAUAAAGGAAUAAAAUGAGGCACGUGUGCCUUUUUGCAUGUACUUUAUGAAUAAGGAUCGGCUAACUCCGUGCCAGCAGCCGCGGUAAUACGGAGGAUCCGAGCGUUAUCCGGAUUUAUUGGGUUUAAAGGGAGCGUAGAUGGGUUGUUAAGUCAGUUGUGAAAGUUUGCGGCUCAACCGUAAAAUUGCAAUUGAUACUGGCAGUCUUGAGUACAGUUGAGGUAGGCGGAAUUCGUGGUGUAGCGGUGAAAUGCUUAGAUAUCACGAAGAACCCCGAUUGCGAAGGCAGCUUACUAAACUGCGACUGACAUUGAUGCUCGAAAGUGUGGGUAUCAAACAGGAUUAGAUACCCCUGUAGUC
Molecule: ribosomal RNA, 460 nt
Filed under: uncultured bacterium
Lineage: Bacteria
Description: partial 16S ribosomal RNA
Rfam family: Bacterial small subunit ribosomal RNA
Source: RNAcentral